GGGAAUCUUGCACAAUGGGGGCAACCCUGAUCCAGCCAUCCCGCGUGUGCGAUGAAGGCCUUCGGGUUGUAAAGCACUUUUGGCAGGGAAGAAACAGCCUGGGCCAAUAUCCCGGGCGACUGACGGUACCUGCAGAAUAAGCACCGGCUAACUACGUGCCAGCAGCCGCGGUAAUACGUAGGGUGCAAGCGUUAAUCGGAAUUACUGGGCGUAAAGCGUGCGCAGGCGGUUCGGAAAGAAAGGUGUGAAAUCCCAGGGCUUAACCUUGGAACUGCACUUUUAACUACCGGGCUAGAGUACGUCAGAGGGGGGUAGAAUUCCACGUGUAGCAGUGAAAUGCGUAGAGAUGUGGAGGAAUACCGAUGGCGAAGGCAGCCCCCUGGGAUGAUACUGACGCUCAUGCACGAAAGCGUGGGGAGCAAACA
Molecule: ribosomal RNA, 425 nt
Filed under: uncultured bacterium
Lineage: Bacteria
Description: bacterial SSU rRNA
Rfam family: Bacterial small subunit ribosomal RNA
Source: RNAcentral